Molecule: ribosomal RNA, 465 nt
Filed under: uncultured bacterium
Lineage: Bacteria
Description: partial 16S ribosomal RNA
Rfam family: Bacterial small subunit ribosomal RNA
Source: RNAcentral
CCUACGGGUGGCAGCAGUGGGGAAUAUUGCGCAAUGGGCGAAAGCCUGACGCAGCGACGCCGCGUGAGGGAUGAAGGUCUUCGGAUCGUAAACCUCUGUCAGCAGGGAAGAACGGUCACUGUGCUAAUCAGCAGUGAAUUGACGGUACCUGCCACGGAACCACCGGCUAACUCCGUGCCAGCAGCCGCGGUAAUACGGAGGGUGCGAGCGUUAAUCGGAAUUAAUGGGCGUAAAGCGCUCGUAGGCGGGCUGUCAAGUCAAGGGUGAAAUCUCCGCGCUCAACGUGGGAACUGCCUUUGAAACUGGAGAACUGGAGGGUGUGAGAGGAUAGUGGAAUUCCAGGUGUAGGAGUGAAAUCCGUAGAUAUCUGGAGGAACAUCAGUGGCGAAGGCGACUAUCUGGCACAUAACUGACGCUGAGGAGCGAAAGCGUGGGUAGCAAACAGGAUUAGAUACCCCUGUAGUC